RNAcentral lists this transfer-messenger RNA (371 nucleotides) under Rhodococcus antarcticus. RNAcentral describes it as "Rhodococcus sp. 75 transfer-messenger RNA". It matches the Rfam family "transfer-messenger RNA". Rfam says of the family: Bacterial tmRNA, also known as 10Sa RNA or SsrA, is named for its dual tRNA and mRNA-like properties. Its role is to liberate the mRNA from a stalled ribosome. The record is from RNAcentral. Lineage: Bacteria; Bacillati; Actinomycetota; Actinomycetes; Mycobacteriales; Nocardiaceae.
GGGGGUGAUCGGUUUCGACUCCGUACGUUGAUCCAGGGGAAGCGUGCUGGUGCAGGCAGGAGACCACCACAAGCGUCACUGCACACAUAUAAGCGCCGACUCCAGUCAGCGCGAGUUCGCCCUCGCCGCCUGAGCGAGUAGCGACUCUGUCAGACCGGGUGUGCCCUCGCCCCGGACCCUGGCAUCGACUAGAGGGCUCUUACCCAGCGGGUCGGCCGCGGACCCGCUGGGGACACCAAACAGCGGCUGGGACCGUCAUCCUGACUCGUCGGUGUGAUCGGGAGGUCCGAGCAGAGACGUAGCCGACUGCGCACGGAGAAGCCCUGGUGAGCCGGCGGAGGACCCGGGUUCGAUUCCCGGCACCUCCACCC